This 491-nucleotide ribosomal RNA is filed under the name uncultured bacterium. RNAcentral describes it as "bacterial SSU rRNA". It matches the Rfam family "Bacterial small subunit ribosomal RNA", at positions 28 to 520 of the family's 1533-position model. The record is from RNAcentral.
GAUAAACGCUGGCGGCGCACAUAAGACAUGCAAGUCGAACGAACUUAACUCAUUCUUUUAGUUUGAGAGCGGUUAGUGGCGGACUGGUGAGUAACACGUAAGCAACCUGCCUAUUAGAGGGGAAUAACAGUGAGAAAUCAUUGCUAAUACCGCAUAUGCUAACAGUAUCGCAUGAUACAGUUAGGAAAGGAGCAAUCCGCUAAUAGAUGGGCUUGCGUCUGAUUAGAUAGUUGGUGGGGUAACGGCCUACCAAGUCGACGAUCAGUAGCCGGACUGAGAGGUUGAACGGCCACAUUGGGACUGAGAUACGGCCCAGACUCCUACGGGAGGCAGCAGUCGGGAAUAUUGCGCAAUGGAGGAAACUCUGACGCAGUGACGCCGCGUAUAGGAAGAAGGUUUUUCGGGAAUUGGUAAAACUCAAUGUCGGGUGGGAAGGAUAAAUGACGGUACACCGGAGAAAGUCACGGCUAACUACGUGCCAGCAGCCGCGG